GUUGUUCUCAGUUCGGAUUGUAGUCUGCAACUCGACUACAUGAAGCUGGAAUCGCUAGUAAUCGUAGAUCAGCAUGCUACGGUGAAUACGUUCCCGGGUCUUGUACACACCGCCCGUCACACCACGAGAGUUUGUAACACCCGAAGCCGGUGGAGUAACCAUUUAUGGAGCUAGCCGUCGAAGGUGGGACAAAUGAUUGGGGUGAAGUCGUAACAAGGUAGCCGUAUCGGAAGGUGCGGCUGGAUCACCUCCUUUCUAAGGA
This 262-nucleotide ribosomal RNA is filed under the name Staphylococcus xylosus. RNAcentral describes it as "partial 16S ribosomal RNA". It matches the Rfam family "Bacterial small subunit ribosomal RNA", at positions 1281 to 1533 of the family's 1533-position model. The record is from RNAcentral. Lineage: Bacteria; Bacillati; Bacillota; Bacilli; Caryophanales; Staphylococcaceae.